This 417-nucleotide ribosomal RNA is filed under the name uncultured bacterium. RNAcentral's name for it is "bacterial SSU rRNA". It matches the Rfam family "Bacterial small subunit ribosomal RNA", at positions 362 to 776 of the family's 1533-position model. The record is from RNAcentral.
UAUUGGUCAAUGGGCGGGAGCCUGAACCAGCCAAGUCGCGUGAGGGAAGACGGUCCUACGGAUUGUAAACCUCUUUUGCCGGGGAGCAACGGGGUCCUUGCGAGGGCCCAAUGAGAGUACCCGGAGAAAAAGCAUCGGCUACCUCCGUGCCAACAGCCGCGGUAAUACGGAGGAUGCGCGCGUUAUCCGGAUUUAUGGGGUUUAAAGGGUGCGUAGGCGGUCCGGAAAGUCAGCGGCAAAAGCCCGGGGCUCAACCCCGGCGAGCCGUUGAAACUGUCGGACUAGAGACGGCGAGAAGUACGCGGAAUGCGCGGUGUAGCGGUGAAAUGCAUAGAUAUCGCGCAGAACUCCGAUUGCGAAGGCAGCGUACCGGCGCCGGCCUGACGCUGAGGCACGAAAGCGUGGGUAUCGAACAGG